UCGAACGGUUAAAGCACCUUCGGGUGUGUAUAGAGUGGCGAACGGCUGAGUAACACGUGGGCAACCUGCCCUUUGCAUCGGGACAGCCUCGGGAAACCGUGGUUAAUACCGGAUACUCCAUCUUUCUCACAUGAAAAAGAUGGGAAAGUGUUUCGCGGCAAGGGAUGGGCCCGCGCCCUGUUAGCUUGUUGGUGGGGUAAAAGCCUACCAAGGCAAUGAUGGGUAGCCGGAUUGAGAGACCGACCGGCCAGAUUGGGACUGAGACACGGCCCAGACUCCUACGGGAGGCAGCAGUGGGGAAUCUUGCACAAUGGGCGAAAGCCUGAUGCAGCGACGCCGCGUGCGGGAUGAAGGCCUUCGGGUUGUAAACCGCUUUCAGCAGGGACGAGGCGAAAGUGACGGUACCUGUAGAAGAAGCCCCGGCUAACUACGUGCCAGCAGCCGCGGUAAUACGUAGGGGGCAAGCGUUAUCCGGAUUCAUUGGGCGUAAAGCGCGCGUAGGCUGCCCAGUAGGUCGAGAGUUAAAUCCGGGGGCUCAACCCCCGUCCGCUCCCGAUACCGCUGGGCUUCGAGUCUGGUAGGGGAAGGUGGAAUUCCCAGUGUAGCGGUGGAAUGCGCAGAUAUUGGGAAGAACACCGGUGGCGAAGGCGGCCUUCUGGGCCAUGACUGACGCUGAGGCGCGAAAGCUAGGGGGGCGAACAGGAUU
RNAcentral lists this ribosomal RNA (706 nucleotides) under uncultured Olsenella sp. RNAcentral describes it as "bacterial SSU rRNA". It matches the Rfam family "Bacterial small subunit ribosomal RNA", at positions 62 to 779 of the family's 1533-position model. The record is from RNAcentral. Lineage: Bacteria; Bacillati; Actinomycetota; Coriobacteriia; Coriobacteriales; Atopobiaceae.